This is a long non-coding RNA of Mytilus californianus (California mussel), 730 nucleotides long. RefSeq lists it as uncharacterized. The record is from RefSeq and is a predicted model, not a curated record. NCBI's taxonomy places the organism in Eukaryota, Metazoa, Mollusca, Bivalvia, Mytilida, Mytilidae. The transcript has 2 exons.
UUUAAGACAGACAGCUAGAUACCAUAAACAUACAAUGUAUACACAGGCCAGAGUCGGAGCUUGAUUUGCUAUAUGAUAUAAAAACUAAACUGACGAAAAAAGGUCAUUUAUUCAAAAUCAUAAAAUGCAAAAAAUACAUUUUGCAAAUAAAACAUUUGACAUAAAAGUUCAUAUUUAAUAUGAAAUAAUAAUACAUAAUUAAUACGAAAUUACAUCAACUAAUAUCAUAUCAAUUGAAUAAAUGACAAAGAAUAGCAAAUGUGGGGAGAAAAAUCUGCCACAAAUCCGAUCUUAAGCUGAAAGAGUGCAUCCCAAAGCCACUCUAAGGCUGAAAGAGUGGAUCCCCCACCCGAGGACUCUGGCGACGUGAAUACAAUUUAUAUAUAACUUGAAAAAUUUACGAGCAUGACAUUCACAUACAUGUACACCAAAAAAUAACACUUUAUUUUUGUAAAACGUUUCCACAUUGAGCAGAAAUAUUAAAAGUUCAUAUGAUCAUAUACCGAGAUAUUACUUUUAAAUUAUCUCUUACUGAUAAAAUUGAUUAAAGGUGUAAAUCUUAUUCCGGUCAGGACCACAGCAAUAAAAUUACAAUAUAAUCGUCGUUAAGUAUAUGUUUCAGAAUUCAUAAAUCGUCUUACAUCUAGACAUUUAAGAAUAGUAUCCGCUAAAUAUUUUAGUACGGACAAUUAGUUCAUUAAUUAACCGAAACUUUAUCUUUAAUCUUAAA